UACGUAGGGCGCAAGCGUUAUCCGGAAUUAUUGGGCGUAAAGAGCUCGUAGGCGGUUUGUUGCGUCUGCCGUGAAAUCCCGGGGCUCAACUCCGGAUCUGCGGUGGGUACGGGCAGACUAGAGUGAUGUAGGGGAGGCUGGAAUUCCUGGUGUAGCGGUGAAAUGCGCAGAUAUCAGGAGGAACACCGAUGGCGAAGGCAGGUCGCUGGACAUUAACUGACGCUGAGGCGCGAAAGCAUGGGGAGCGAAAAGG
Molecule: ribosomal RNA, 253 nt
Filed under: uncultured bacterium
Lineage: Bacteria
Description: partial 16S ribosomal RNA
Rfam family: Bacterial small subunit ribosomal RNA
Source: RNAcentral